CAUAGAUAUGGGUCAGCAGGGGCCUGCUGCGCCUACUGGUAGGCUCAGAGGGCUGUUAUCAUCCAUUCGCAUGGUUAAUCACGGAUAAAUACACGAGAAGACUCCAGAUCCAAUCCCAGAGCAAUCCAGGUCGCCGCUAACCGGAAGUCUGUUGGAUAACGGCAUAUGUAUACACAGAUAUGGGAAAAGCUAUUAAGAGUGCACGCUUCAGGAGCGUUAAGAUUAAGGUGGCGAGGAGGUGUAUCGCUGGCCGUGCAAAGGUUUCUUACCUUAGUCAAGGUCUUCCCCAACCCAGCACCAAACAGACCCAUCCUUCAGACCCUUCCACAUCUGUUACACCUCAGGUUGAAUCUGAUGAUGUGGCACCUAGUUCAUGUUCUGAGACUGCAUACAGUAAGGCAAAGAAGAGAGAGAUUCAUGCCUGGGAUGCAGUCAAGGAUGACAUGCUUAAGGUGUCAUUUGAAUGUUCAGCACCAAUCGCUACGCAGUGUGUUGUCUGCCUAGAAGAUGCUGAUUAUAGGUGCAUUGAGUGCAGCACAACUGCAGUCUUUUGUGAGGCUUGUCUGAAGAGGACUCACAGAAAUUCACUGCACCUACCUGAUAAGUGGAAUAAUGCCUACUAUGAGCCGUUUUCC
Molecule: long non-coding RNA, 635 nt
Organism: Perca flavescens (yellow perch)
Lineage: Eukaryota; Metazoa; Chordata; Actinopteri; Perciformes; Percidae
Exons: 3
Source: RefSeq, a predicted model, not a curated record